RNAcentral lists this unclassified non-coding RNA (148 nucleotides) under uncultured Capnodiales. RNAcentral's name for it is "sequence contains ITS1". The record is from RNAcentral. Lineage: Eukaryota; Fungi; Ascomycota; Dothideomycetes; Capnodiales.
CUGAGUGAGGGCCCUCCGGCCCGACCUCCAACCCCAUGUAUUCCGACUCUGUUGCCUCGGGGGCGACCCGGCCUUUACCGGCGUGGGGCCCCCGGCGGACACCAUAACCCUGCAUCUUUGCGUCUGAGUAACACUUUGAAUUAAAUCA